This is a non-coding RNA of Delphinapterus leucas (beluga whale), 756 nucleotides long. Lineage: Eukaryota; Metazoa; Chordata; Mammalia; Artiodactyla; Monodontidae. The record is from RefSeq and is a predicted model, not a curated record.
UUGCUUUAGGUGCAAAAAGCACUGAGAGGUCAAAGAGCAGAGGCAGUGAGCCUGCGGGGUAGAGCCUGGUUCCCAGUGCCCCUCAGGUGCUAAUUCCCUGGGACAGUAGUAGGGUCUGCACAGAGUCAAGAGGGGGUUCUGUAGCCUGGGAAACUCCGAGUCAUGUAAAGGUUAACAGAUCUCUUCUCUGCCUUGUGUCUUAGAGGGUUGAAAAUGCGAAUGUGCAUGGAGGACUUCCAAGAAGGGAAUGUCAGAUUCACACUUUCCCAAGGCUGUCGCGAUGGAAAUCCACAUUCUGCAGAACCAAAAAUAGCAUCUAUCUAUGAGAAGAAGGCUACUGACCUGGGGGACCCUGUGGGCCAGGAAGACCGCUAGAACCUGAGGAGGACAACACGACAACGAUGAUCAGAUGGGUCGGGUACAGGCCAGGAACACUGACCCCAUGGAGCAAGGAUCGGGCAGCCUUCAACCUCAGCAGAACCAUCAGAGGCUACGCACCUGGAGUCCCAGGGAACCCUCGAUCUCCUGUGGGAACAGAGAGAAAAAAGUCAGCCAGAGGACUCAGGCCGGUCACCUAAGGAGCCACCAGUGCAAUUCAGGUGGGAUCGCCAAAUUUAGCAAGUAAAAAUACGGGACUCUCAGUUAAGUUUGAAUUGCAGGAAAACAUUGAAUAAACUUUUACUUAUAGUGACAAGUGAUUUAGUGUUUAUAUUAAUUCACAUUUGACUGGGCAUCCUAUAUUAUAGUCAGGAGGGG